Molecule: non-coding RNA, 3804 nt
Organism: Phalacrocorax carbo (great cormorant)
Lineage: Eukaryota; Metazoa; Chordata; Aves; Suliformes; Phalacrocoracidae
Source: RefSeq, a predicted model, not a curated record
AAGCAGUUCAGCAAGCAGCAGAAGAAAAAAGCUGCCACUAAUGAGCACUGGAUUCUAAUAUACAGCAAGGCAAGGAAGCCCCGUGGCAAACGGGAGUUUGCCAAUUAAUAGACAACAGUUUUUGGCAACCCAGACCGGACAGCUGUGAAGCCUUGCCCAGAUGGUCUUGCCAGCUGCCGGUGGGGAGAAGUUGCUCUUCGCACUCCAAGCAUGCACUGACCUGUUGUUCAGAGGACUCCGUGAGUAAUCUCCCCAUCCGGAGGGGCUUUAGAUACUGAGCAUGACGUCAUAUGGUAUGGAAUACCCCGUUGGUCAGUUUGGGUCAGCUGUCCUGGCUGCGUCCCCUCCAAGCUUCUUGUGUACCCAGCCAAGCAUGGGGAGCUGAAAAAGUCCUUGGCCAGUGUAAGUGCUACUUAGCAGGAACUAAAACAUCUCCACAUUAUCACCACUGUUUCCAGCAAAACUCCAAAACAUAGCCCCAUACUAGCUACUAUGAAGAAAUUUAACUCUAUCCCAGCUGAAACGAGGACACCUCUCUCUCAAGUGACCUGGAAGAAGAAUUAUUUCGUAUGGGGCCCUGAGCAACAAGCCUUUGAACAGUUUAAACAGGAGAUAGUUCAUGCAUCAGAGAGUGUGAGAGAGAGAUAGAGUGGUGGGCCACACCCUAUCAUCCCCAGGGCCAAGUCAGCAGAUGGAGGCUCCACAAGAAGCUCCACAAGAAGCAGAGAAUUCCCUACCCUCUUGCCACCUAGCAGAAGGAGGGAACCUAAGAGAUGUGGGGGAAUGGAAACAGGUCCCUGCUCGGGGUGGCAGGCAAAUCCCCUCUCGGCCUCCCUCACCUUCCCAGCUGCCCUUACACAACAGAUAUGGGGCUCUGGAACUUGUGGGUCAGGCAAACGAGGAUGUAGGUGAAGGUUCAUCUGGGGGGUUGCCUAGGGAGAAUUGGUCAUCCCCACACAUUAUGACUGCCUCUGUUAAGAAGAAAAGGAGGGUAAUCAUUGUAGGCGAUUCCCUUCUGAGGGGGACAGAGGGCCCAAUAUGCUGACCAGACCCAUCCCACAGGGAAGUCUGCUGCCUCCCUGGGGCUCUGGUCAGACAUGUUACUAGGAAACUCCCUGGUCUGGUCUGGCCCUCUGAUAACUACCUGCUAUCAGUUGUGCAGCUGGGCAGUGAUGAGGUUGCAGAGAGAAGUCCAAGAGCAAUCAAAAGGGACUUCAGGGCACUGGGGUGACUGGUUGAAGGAUCAGGAGCGCAGGUAGUGUUUUCCUCAAUCCUGUCAGUGGCAGGGAAGAGCAAUACUGAAAGGAAGAGGAAAACUCAACUGAUUGAUUAACACAUGGCUCAGAGGCUGGUGCCAUCAGUGGAAAUUUGUUUUUUUUUGAUCAUGGGGAGGUUUACAUGGCACCGGGCCUGCUGGCAACAGCUAGAGUUCACCUAUCUCAAAGGGGGAAAAGGAUUCUUGCAAAUGAGUUGGCGAGGCUCAUCAAGAGGGCUUCAAACUAGAUUCAGAGGGUGAAGGGGAUGUAGCCAGGUUCACCAGUGAGGAGGCUAGGGGUGGCAUGCCAGGGUUGCGGGUGAAACUGAUAGCCCAGCUCAAGUGCAUCUACACCAAUGCACACAGCAUGGGCAACAAACAGGAGGAGCUGGAAGCCAUCGUGCAGCAGGAUAGCUAUAACUUAGUCACCAUCAGAGAGACAUGGUGGAAUGACUCUUAUGACCGGAGUCCUGCAAUGAAUGGCUAUAAGCUCUUCAGAAGGGAUAGGCAAGGAAGGAGAGGUGGUGGGGUGGCUCUGUAUGUUAGGAAGUGCUUCAAUUGCAUAGAGUUUAGCAAUUGUGAUAAUAAGGUUGAGUGCUUAUGGGUAAGGAUGAGAGGGAAGGCCAACAAGGCAGAUAUCCUGGUGGGAGUCUGUUAUAGACCACCCAACCAGGAUGAGGAGACAGAUGAAGUACUCUACAAGCAGUUGGCUGAAGUCUCAUAAUCUCUAGCCCUCGUUUUAGUGGGGGACUUCAAUUUACCAGUCUAGGAGAAUCCUGGAGUGUGUGGAAGAUAACUUCCUGACACAACUGGUAAGUGAAGCCUACCAGGGGAGGUGCCUCACUUGACCUCCUGUUUACAAACAAAGAAGGACUGGUGGGAGAUGUGGUGGUCGGAGGACAUCUUGGGCUUAGCAACCAUGAUAUGACUGAGUUCUCAAUUCUUGGUGAAGUAAGUAGGGGGGUCAGCAGAUCCACUACCAUGGACUUCCGGAGGGCAGACUUUGGCCUGUUCAAGGCAGUGGUUGGGAGAGUCCCUUGGGAGGCAGUCCUGAAGGGCAAAGGAGUCCAGGAUGGCUGGGCUUUCUUCAUGAUGGAAGUCUCAAAGGUGCAGGAGCAGGCUGUCCCCAAGUGCCGCAAGACAAACCGGCGGGGUAGACGACCAGCCUGGCUGAACAGGGAGCUUUUCCUGGCAUUCAGGAAAAAAAAGAGAGUCUACUGCUUUUGGAAGAAGGGGCAGGCAACUCAAGAAGCAUACAGAGACCUCAUUAGGUCUUGCAGAGGGAAAAUUAGAGAAGCAAAGUCCCAGCUAGAACUCAACCUGGCCACUGUUGUAAGGGAUAACAAAAGAUGUUUUUACAAAUAUAUUAACAACAAAAAGAGAACCAAAUAAAAUCUCCAUCAUCUAUUGGAUGUGGAGGGGAACAUUGCAACUAAGGAUGAGGAAAAGCCUGACGUACUAAAUGCCUUCUUUGUCUCAGUCUUUAACCAUCAGACCAGUUAUCGCCAGGGUAUUCAGCCCCCUGAGCUGGAAGGCAGGGACGGAUCGCAGAAUAAACCCCCCCCAUAAUCCAGGAGGAAGCAGUUUACGACCCGCUGAGCCACCUGGACACUCACAAGUCUAUGGGGCCAGAUGGGAUCCACCUGAGAGUACUGAGGGAGCUGACAGAGGAGCUUGCCAAGCCACUCUCCAUCAUUUACCAUCAGUCCUGGUUAACAGGGGAGGUCCCAGAUGACUGGAAACUUGCCGAUGUGAUGCCCAUCUACAAGAAGGGCCGGAAGGGGGAUCCAGGGAACUACAGGCCCAUCAGCCUGACCUUGGUACCGGGGAAGGUUAUGGAGCAGUUAAUCUUGAUGUUAAGAGAUAGUAGACUUAGAAUAGGUAUUUAGAAUAAGAAAAAUAUAAAAGACUAUUCAGUAUUGUUAUACCAGUUUAGAAUAAGAAAUAGAUAAAUGAAUGUAGUCAAUAUUGUUAUACUCUUGUGUUAUCACAGGUGUAUAACUUUUCUUUUCAGUCCAUGCAGUGUACUGCUCAUUCUGUCCCCUGUAUAGCCCCAACCAUGGCUGGAUUAAUCACCAGCAGAGCUAAUCAGUAGAAAGAAUAAAUACAGAAAACCAGAGUUAAACAUGAAGAUUAAGUGCUGAUUGUAAUACCUCUGUUAACUAAAUAUAAGUAUAUAGAUGAUGAAUAAGUAGAAAAAUGUAACGGUUGGAAGGUUAACUUCUAUGAAAUCAGGAAACUUAAACAAGACAUCGGGCGGACAUUCUAAGAAGGAGAUCAAAGGCCUAACAGUGGACCAAUAAGGCUCGUGACCAGAAGCAGAACCGAGACGGGGACGACAAGAACUUGCUGAAGGUGGAAAAAGAAGACCUUUUAACUGGCCAGAAAAAUGAAGAAUUGAGAACACAGUGGAAAAUUACGAUGGGCUUUGACAAUGACAUAAUUAUCAGGGAAGCCUAUAUAACCUGAAGGCUGUGUCUUGUUAGUUGCCACACACUGAGGUGGUGGCCCAACUCUGAGUUGUGAUUAAUAAAGCAAACCUAGUGAUA